Molecule: ribosomal RNA, 781 nt
Filed under: uncultured Neocallimastigales
Lineage: Eukaryota; Fungi; Neocallimastigomycota; Neocallimastigomycetes; Neocallimastigales
Description: LSU rRNA
Rfam family: Eukaryotic large subunit ribosomal RNA
Source: RNAcentral
GCAUAUCAAUAAGCGGAGGAAAAGAAACUAACAAGGAUUCCCCUAGUAACGGCGAGUGAAGCGGGAAGAGCUCAAAUUUGAAAUCUUAAAGGGUUUCCCUUUACGAAUUGUAGUUUAAAGAAGUGUUUUCUGUUGAGGUUUUGGUAAAAGUUCUUUGGAAUAGGACAUCAUAGAGGGUGAGAAUCCCGUAUUUGACCUUUACUUUCAACUUUGUGAUACACUUUCAAAGAGUCGGAUUGUUUGGGAAUGCAGUCCAAAAUGGGUGGUAAAUUUCAUCUAAAGCUAAAUAUUGGCGAGAGACCGAUAGCGAACAAGUACCGUGAGGGAAAGAUGAAAAGAACUUUGAAAAGAGAGUUAAACAGUACGUGAAAUUGUCAAAAGGGAAGCGUUUGACACCAGUGUUGUUUUUCUGAAAAUCAAUUAAAGAACUGUUUAUGCUAAGCUGUUUAGACUUUAUCAGCUAUCUGUUUAGUUUUGAGCUUUUCUUUAAUGCACUUUUCAGUUAACAAGUCAACAUCAAUUUCUUUUGCUGUAAAAAAGCUUGAGGAAGGUGGCUUGAGAUUCGUCUUAAGUGUUUAUAGCCUCUUGCCUAUGCAGUCGGAGAGAUUGAGGUCUGCAGCGUAGAUCCUUCGGGGCUAAAUGCAUUUGUGCUAAGUUAUAGCAUUUUAUAGACAACUUGUUGACUAUGAUUUGUCUUGUAGCUUACUCGCUUAUGUUAUUUUACCUACGCUUAGGAUGUUGACAAAAUGGUUUUAAACGACCCGUCUUGAAACACGGACCA